This 253-nucleotide ribosomal RNA is filed under the name uncultured bacterium. RNAcentral describes it as "partial 16S ribosomal RNA". It matches the Rfam family "Bacterial small subunit ribosomal RNA", at positions 524 to 776 of the family's 1533-position model. The record is from RNAcentral.
UACGGAGUGUGCAAGCGUUACUCGGAAUCACUGGGCAUAAAGGGCGUAUAGGCGGGCUUUCAAGUCGGUUGUGAAAUCCCUCAGCUCAACUGAGGAACUGCAUCCGAUACUGUUUGUCUUGAGGACGAGAGGGGAGAGUGGAACUUCUGGUGGAGCGGUGAGAUGCGUAGAUAUCAGAAGGAACGCCGGUGGCGAAAGCGACUCUCUGGCUCGUAUCUGACGCUGAAACGCGAAGGCUUGGGUAGCAAACGGG